UACGUAGGGGGCAAGCGUUGUCCGGAUUCACUGGGUGUAAAGGGCGCGCAGGCGGGUUAGCAAGUCAGAGGUGAAAUCCUACAGCUUAACUGUAGAACUGCCUUUGAAACUGUUAAUCUUGAGUGCGGAAGAGAGAGAUGGAAUUCCAGGUGUAGCGGUGAAAUGCGUAGAUAUCUGGAAGAACACCAGUUGCGAAGGCGGUCUCUUGGUCCGUUACUGACGCUCAGGCGCGAAAGCGUGGGGAGCAAACAGG
This 253-nucleotide ribosomal RNA is filed under the name uncultured bacterium. RNAcentral's name for it is "partial 16S ribosomal RNA". It matches the Rfam family "Bacterial small subunit ribosomal RNA", at positions 524 to 776 of the family's 1533-position model. The record is from RNAcentral.